RNAcentral lists this ribosomal RNA (468 nucleotides) under uncultured bacterium. Its description in RNAcentral is "partial 16S ribosomal RNA". It matches the Rfam family "Bacterial small subunit ribosomal RNA", at positions 28 to 507 of the family's 1533-position model. The record is from RNAcentral.
GACGAACGCUGGCGGCGUGCUUAACACAUGCAAGUCGAACGGCAAGGCCCGGCUUUUGUGGGGUGCUCGAGUGGCGAACGGGUGAGUAACACGUGAGUAACGUGCACUUGACUUUGGGAUAACUUCAGGAAACUCGGGCUAAUACCGGAUAGGAGCUACUGGUGAAUGGUGGGGGUUGGAAAGUUUCGGCGGUUGGGGAUGGACUGGCGGCUUAUCAGCUUGUUGGUGGGGUAGUGUCUUACCAAGGCUUUGACGGGUAGCCGGCCUGAGAGGGUGAGCAGCCACAUUGGGCCUGGACUAAGGCCCGGACUCGUACGGGAGGCAACAGUGGAGUAUGUUGCACAAUGCGCGGAAGCCGGAUGCAGCACCGCCACGCGCGGGGUGACGGCCAUCCGUUUGUAAAGCGAUGUCGCCUGUGCAGAGGCGUGAGUGACGGUAAUGGGUGAAGAAGCACCGGCUAACUACGUG